UUAAAUGCUAUGAAAGGAAAUAGUAGAUAUUUAAGGUCUAUAGAGAGGAAACUCCUUGGCUGUAAGGUUUCUGGCCCAAUGAAUAUUGAACCUAUCCACGAGCUUCUAGACGGAAAUGAUAAGAGUAUGUCUAGACGGAUUGUAACCGUUAAGUUGAUGAGAGGACUAUUUAUAUAGUCUAUUAGGGUGGUACCGCGGAUAUUAUAACCUUCGUCCCUUUA
This 221-nucleotide non-coding RNA is filed under the name Gottschalkia purinilytica. Its description in RNAcentral is "Clostridium purinilyticum T-box sequence". It matches the Rfam family "T-box leader". From Rfam's summary of the family: Uncharged tRNA acts as the effector for transcription antitermination of genes in the T-box leader family. T-boxes are found upstream of many aminoacyl-tRNA synthetase genes and some amino acid biosynthetic genes usually in Gram-positive bacteria. Lineage: Bacteria; Bacillati; Bacillota; Tissierellia; Tissierellales; Gottschalkiaceae. The record is from RNAcentral.